AGAGUUUGAUCCUGGCUCAGGACGAACGCUGGCGGCGUGCUUAACACAUGCAAGUCGAACGGUAAGGCCCUUCGGGGUACACGAGUGGCGAACGGGUGAGUAACACGUGGGUAAUCUGCCCUGCACAUCGGGAUAAGCCUGGGAAACUGGGUCUAAUACCGAAUAGGACCACAGGACACAUGUCCUGUGGUGGAAAGCUUUUGCGGUGUGGGAUGGGCCCGCGGCCUAUCAGCUUGUUGGUGGGGUGAUGGCCUACCAAGGCGACGACGGGUAGCCGGCCUGAGAGGGUGUCCGGCCACACUGGGACUGAGAUACGGCCCAGACUCCUACGGGAGGCAGCAGUGGGGAAUAUUGCACAAUGGGCGAAAGCCUGAUACAGCGACGCCGCGUGGGGGAUGACGGCCUUCGGGUUGUAAACCUCUUUCACCAUCGACGAAGGUCCGGGUUUUCUCGGGCUGACGGUAGGUGGAGAAGAAGCACCGGCCAACUACGUGCCAGCAGCCGCGGUAAUACGUAGGGUGCGAGCGUUGUCCGGAAUUACUGGGCGUAAAGAGCUCGUAGGUGGUUUGUCGCGUUGUUCGUGAAAACUCACAGCUCAACUGUGGGCGUGCGGGCGAUACGGGCAGACUUGAGUACUGCAGGGGAGACUGGAAUUCCUGGUGUAGCGGUGGAAUGCGCAGAUAUCAGGAGGAACACCGGUGGCGAAGGCGGGUCUCUGGGCAGUAACUGACGCUGAGGAGCGAAAGCGUGGGGAGCGAACAGGAUUAGAUACCCUGGUAGUCC
This 783-nucleotide ribosomal RNA is filed under the name uncultured bacterium. Its description in RNAcentral is "bacterial SSU rRNA". It matches the Rfam family "Bacterial small subunit ribosomal RNA", at positions 8 to 796 of the family's 1533-position model. The record is from RNAcentral.